CAGACGAGCAAUAUAUCCAAGUAUAAGCAACUUGUACUGUGAAACUGCGAAUGGCUCAUUAAAUCAGUUAUCGUUUAUUUGAUAGUACCUUACUACAUGGAUACCUGUGGUAAUCCUAGAGCUAAUACAUGCUAAAAACCCUGACUUCAGGAAGGGGUGUAUUCAUUAGAUAAAAAGCCAACGCCCUUCGGGGCUCCUUGGUGAAUCAUAAUAAGUUAACCAAUCGCAUGGCCUUGGGCCGGCGAUGGUUUAUUCAAAUUUCUUCCCUAUCAGCUUUCGAUGGUAGGAUAGUGGCCUACCAUGGUGGUGAGAAUUAGGGUUCGAUUCAGGAGAGGGAGCCUGAGAAACGGCUACCACAUCCAAGGAAGGCAGUGCUCUUUUGGGUCUCGUAAUUGGAAUGAGAACAAUUUAAAUCCCUUAACGAGGAACAAUUGGAGGGCAAGUCUGGUGCCAGCAACCGCGGUAAUUCCAGCUCCAAU
Molecule: ribosomal RNA, 479 nt
Organism: Penicillium nordicum
Lineage: Eukaryota; Fungi; Ascomycota; Eurotiomycetes; Eurotiales; Aspergillaceae
Rfam family: Eukaryotic small subunit ribosomal RNA
Source: Rfam